AUGUCGAGGCGCGGCGACUGGGUCUACGAGAACAACGGCGGGACCUGCGUGGCCAUCGCCGGCGCGGACUACUGCGUGGUCGCCGCCGACACCCGCCUCUCCGUCGGAUACAACAUCCUCACGCGCGAGCACUCCAAGAUCUGCGAGCUGGCCGAUAAAUGUGUAAUAGCAUCUUCUGGCUUCCAAGGUGACAUCAAAGCUCUACAGAAGAACUUAGCUGCCAGAGAACUGCUAUACCAGCACCAGCACAAUAAAAGGAUGAGCUGCCCAGCAAUGGCACAAUUGCUCUCCAAUACUCUGUACUACAAGCGAUUCUUCCCAUAUUAUGCUUUCAACGUGCUUGGUGGGCUUGACAGUGAAGGGAAAGGAUGCGUGUACUCGUAUGAUGCUGUUGGGUCCUAUGAGAGGACUGGUUACAGUGCUCAGGGAUCAGGAUCUACUUUGAUCAUGCCAGUGUUGGACAACCAGCUGAAAUCACCUAGUCCACUAUUAGUCCCUGCAAGAGAUGCCGUCACCCCUUUGUCCGAGUCAGAGGCGGUCGACCUAGUUAAGGAUGUCUUUGCAUCUGCAACUGAGAGGGACAUCUACACCGGGGACAAGGUGGAGAUUGUAGUCAUCAACAAAGCUGGUACAAGGCGCGAGUACAUCGAGUUGAGGAAGGACUAA
Molecule: ribosomal RNA, 666 nt
Filed under: Triticum aestivum (bread wheat)
Lineage: Eukaryota; Viridiplantae; Streptophyta; Magnoliopsida; Poales; Poaceae
Description: partial small subunit ribosomal RNA
Source: RNAcentral